CAAUAGCGUAUAUUAAAGCUGUUGCGGUUAAAAAGCUCGUAGUUGGAUUUCUGUCAAGGACAACUGGUCCGCCCUCCGGGUGAGCACAUAGUUUGGUCUUGACAUCUUGCUGGAAGCUGUUGCUGCACUUGGCUGUGUGGCGCAGUGUUCAGCACUUUCACUUUGAGGAAAUCGGAGUGUUUCAAGCAGGCACAUGCCUUUGGACACAGUAGCAUGGAAUAAUUAGAUUGGGCUUUUGCUCCAAUUUGUCGGUUUCUGGAGCUGAGGUGAGUAUUAAUGGGGAUUGUUGGGGGCAUCCGAAUUUAGCCGUCAGAGGUGAAAUUCUUGGAUCUGCUAAAGACGGACAACUGCGAAAGCGUUUGCCCAGGAUGUUUUCAUUG
Molecule: ribosomal RNA, 380 nt
Filed under: uncultured eukaryote
Lineage: Eukaryota
Description: partial 18S ribosomal RNA
Rfam family: Eukaryotic small subunit ribosomal RNA
Source: RNAcentral